This 253-nucleotide ribosomal RNA is filed under the name uncultured bacterium. RNAcentral's name for it is "partial 16S ribosomal RNA". It matches the Rfam family "Bacterial small subunit ribosomal RNA", at positions 524 to 776 of the family's 1533-position model. The record is from RNAcentral.
UACGUAGGGUGCAAGCGUUGUCCGGAAUUAUUGGGCGUAAAGGGCUCGUAGGCGGUCCGUCACGUCGGGAGUGAAAACUUGGGGCUUAACCCCAAGCCUGCUUCCGAUACGGGCGGACUAGAGGUAGGCAGGGGAGAACGGAAUUCCUGGUGUAGCGGUGAAAUGCGCAGAUAUCAGGAGGAACACCUAUUGCGAAGGCAGCUCGCUGGGACGUAACUGACGCUGAGACGCGAAAGCGUGGGGAGCAAACAGG